This 305-nucleotide long non-coding RNA is filed under the name Ursus americanus (American black bear). RNAcentral describes it as "lncRNA (ENSUAMG00000006798.1)". The record is from RNAcentral. Lineage: Eukaryota; Metazoa; Chordata; Mammalia; Carnivora; Ursidae.
AAACACUUUGAAAUUGAUUUGGUUUUGAGAUUUGAGAAUUUUGAAAUACUUGCAAUGGAAGGAGCAGAGUCACCACUGGGCAGUUCAGGCUCCACUCCCUCUGCCAAGGCCACUGUGUCAUCCAAGCUCUGUCUCAGGGCAACUUCCUUCAAGGUCACACAAAGAUGGAUGCUCCUCUAACCUGCUGCAAAUCUCCGCCCAGGGGUCACAGUAUACUAAAAGGCACUUGAUCAAGAGAAAUCUGGGGUAAGCUGGGAACCAUCAAGUUAUUGAGGCCACACAGGGGGCAGAAAGACAGAGGUAGG